Quercus robur (English oak) is the source of this 816-nucleotide long non-coding RNA. RefSeq lists it as uncharacterized. Lineage: Eukaryota; Viridiplantae; Streptophyta; Magnoliopsida; Fagales; Fagaceae. The transcript is spliced from 5 exons. The record is from RefSeq and is a predicted model, not a curated record.
GCGCUACCUCAUUCAGAUUUGGAAGGCCGUUGGGAUGGAUACUGAUGGAGGGAAGGUGGAGUUUCUGCGGUCGUCGAACGAGAUAAACCGAAUCAAGCUCAUGAGUACUAGCCUCUUGUGAUGGAUAUAGCACAAAGGAAUACGGUUUCAAGGAUAAAAACGUGAAUUAUGGUGUGGUCACAUUAUGGGUCGAAGUGAUGAGGACGAGUUCACUGCAGCACAAAUUUUCUACCCACGCAUGCAAUGUGCUUAUGUGUGGUCUUUAUUUUUUUUGCUUACUGGUAAUUUACAAACAUGUUACCCAGUUUACAACAAGGUCAGGAGAAGAUGUCGAAAAGUGAUCCACUAUCUUCAACUUUUAUGGAAGAUGACGAGGCGAAAGUAAAUUUGAAGAUAAAGAGAGCAUACUGUCCUCCAGAUAUUGUGGAAGGGAAUCCAUGCUUGGAGUAUGUGAAGUACCUCAUUUUACCUUGGUUUAAAAAGUUUGUACUAGAGCGCAGUGCAAAGAAUGGUGGUGACAAUUUUCUCUACAAUCCAAGAGCUUCGAAAGCUUUGAAGAAUUGGUUGCUUACUAUGAAAGUGGAAAGCUACAUCGAGCUGAUAUUAAACCAGCCUUGGCAAAGGCUUUCAAUAAAAUACUAGAGGCACAGAUAUCACUGUUAUAUCAAACCUCUUGAAGCAUUGGAAGGUGAAGAGUCCAGGAAAAGAAGGCAGACCGCUUCUUCAUCAUGCAGGGCUUGUUCAAGCUUUAUCAGAUCAUGUUCUACUUUUUCCUACGAUAGAUAUUUCCCAUCGUCUGAUUGCGCUCUAACAUAC